CACGAACCGGACGAACGUUAUUCGGAAUUAUUGGGCUUAAAGGGUGCGUAGGCGGUGCGGUAAGUGAGGUGUGAAAUGCCACGGCUCAACCGUGGAAUUGCGCUUCAUACUGCCGUGCUGGAGGGAGACAGAGGUAAGCGGAACUGAUGGUGGAGCGGUGAAAUGCGUUGAUAUCAUCAGGAACACCGGUGGCGAAAGCGGCUUACUGGGUCUUCUCUGACGCUGAGGCACGAAAGCUAGGGUAGCGAACGGG
Molecule: ribosomal RNA, 253 nt
Filed under: uncultured bacterium
Lineage: Bacteria
Description: partial 16S ribosomal RNA
Rfam family: Bacterial small subunit ribosomal RNA
Source: RNAcentral